UCCUACGGGACGCAGCAGUAGGGAAUAUUGCAUAAUGGGCGCAAGCCUGAUGCAGCAACGCCGCGUGUGCGAUGAAGGCCUUCGGGUUGUAAAGCACUUUUGGCCGGGAAGAGGAAGGACGGUACCGGUCGAAGAAGCCUCGGCUAACUACGUGCCAGCAGCCGCGGUAAAACGUAGGAGGCGAGCGUUAUCCGGAUUUACUGGGUGUAAAGCGCGUGCAGGCGGUUGGCUAAGUUGGGUGUGAAAGCUCCUGGCUCAACUGGGAGAGGUCGCUCAAGACUGGUCGACUGGAGAGCAGUAGAGGAAGGUGGAAUUCCGGGUGUAGUGGUGAAAUGCGUAGAUAUCCGGAGGAACACCAGUGGCGAAAGCGGCCUUCUGGACUGCAUCUGACGCUCAGACGCGAAAGCUAGGGGAGCAAACGGGAUUAGAUACCCCCGUAGUCCC
This 444-nucleotide ribosomal RNA is filed under the name uncultured bacterium. RNAcentral's name for it is "bacterial SSU rRNA". It matches the Rfam family "Bacterial small subunit ribosomal RNA", at positions 337 to 797 of the family's 1533-position model. The record is from RNAcentral.